UACAGAGGUGGCAAGCGUUGUUCGGAAUUACUGGGCGUAAAGGGCGCGUAGGCGGCCCGCUAAGUCGAACGUGAAAUCCCCGAGCUCAACUCGGGAACUGCGUCCGAUACUGGCGGGCUUGAAUCCGGGAGAGGGAUGCGGAAUUCCAGGUGUAGCGGUGAAAUGCGUAGAUAUCUGGAGGAACACCGGUGGCGAAGGCGGCAUCCUGGACCGGUAUUGACGCUGAGGCGCGAAAGCUAGGGGAGCAAACGGG
Molecule: ribosomal RNA, 253 nt
Filed under: uncultured bacterium
Lineage: Bacteria
Description: partial 16S ribosomal RNA
Rfam family: Bacterial small subunit ribosomal RNA
Source: RNAcentral